GAUGAACGCUGGCGGCGUGCCUAAUACAUGCAAGUCGAGCGAACGGACUAGAAGCUUGCUUCUCUGAUGUUAGCGGCGGACGGGUGAGUAACACGUGGAUAACCUACCUAUAAGACUGGGAUAACUUCGGGAAACCGUAGCUAAUACCGGAUAAUAUUUUGAACCGCAUGGUUCAAAAGUGAAAGACGGUCUUGCUGUCACUUAUAGAUGGAUCCGCGCUGCAUUAGCUAGUUGGUAAGGUAACGGCUUACCAAGGCAACGAUGCAUAGCCGACCUGAGAGGGUGAUCUGCCACACUGGAACUGAGACACGGUCCAGACUCCUACGGGAGGCAGCAGUAGGGAAUCGUCCGCAAUGGGCGGAAGCCUGACGGAGCAACGCCGCGUGAGUGAUGAAGGUCUUCGGAUCGUAAAACUCUGUUAUUAGGGAAGAACAUAUGUGUAAGUAACUGUGCACAGCUUGACGGUACCUAAUCAGAAAGCCACGGCUAACUACGUG
Molecule: ribosomal RNA, 497 nt
Filed under: uncultured bacterium
Lineage: Bacteria
Description: partial 16S ribosomal RNA
Rfam family: Bacterial small subunit ribosomal RNA
Source: RNAcentral